RNAcentral lists this long non-coding RNA (222 nucleotides) under Vitis vinifera (wine grape). Its description in RNAcentral is "long non-coding RNA (VVIN_LNC003006)". Lineage: Eukaryota; Viridiplantae; Streptophyta; Magnoliopsida; Vitales; Vitaceae. The record is from RNAcentral.
CUAUCUUCUUGCAAUUGAAAAGGUCCAAAGGGAUCUCUCCAAUCAAUUGGUUUCCAAGUCCUCUCUUGAAACAGAAUCAUUUUCUACAAAAAUCACCAUCUAGGCGAUCGUUGGGCAUUAUGUCAAAAUUUCCAUCACAAAUGAAUUUCUUGGUAGCACCAUUAGUAGUCUUAGCAGUCAAGCUCACUGAAUCAAGUCCUUCACUAGCUUAUUCAAGUGCUC